RNAcentral lists this ribosomal RNA (484 nucleotides) under uncultured bacterium. RNAcentral's name for it is "partial 16S ribosomal RNA". It matches the Rfam family "Bacterial small subunit ribosomal RNA", at positions 30 to 507 of the family's 1533-position model. The record is from RNAcentral.
AUUGAACGCUGGCGGCAGGCCUAACACAUGCCAGUCGAGCGGAUGAAGGGAGCUUGCUCCUGGAUUCGGCGGCGGACGGGUGAGUAAUGCCUAGGAAUCUGCCUGGUAGUGGGGGAUAACGUCCGGAAACGGGCGCUAAUACCGCAUACGUCCUGAGGGAGAAAGUGGGGGAUCUUCGGACCUCACGCUAUCAGAUGAGCCUAGGUCGGAUUAGCUAGUUGGUGGGGUAAAGGCCUACCAAGGCGACGAUCCGUAACUGGUCUGAGAGGAUGAUCAGUCACACUGGAACUGAGACACGGUCCAGACUCCUACGGGAGGCAGCAGUGGGGAAUAUUGGACAAUGGGCGAAAGCCUGAUCCAGCCAUGCCGCGUGUGUGAAGAAGGUCUUCGGAUUGUAAAGCACUUUAAGUUGGGAGGAAGGGCAGUAAAUUAAUACCUUGCUGUUUUGACGUUACCAACAGAAUAAGCACCGGCUAACUUCGUG